AUCUAAAUGAUCUGAUACGACACCUGGUGUCAAAAAUGUGCACUACUCAGGAGCAUAGUGAAAGAUGUAAAUACUGUUGGUUGUACAGUGAAAUUUCGUUGUUUUAUGUUAAACCAACAAAAUUAAAUAAGUUGGUCCCAGUAUUCCUGAAAAAAUGACUGUUAACAAUACAAAUUGUUGUGUUUUUCGCUGCCAUAGCAGAAACAAUACAAACAGUGGGCUCUCUUUUCAUAAAUUCCCCAUAAAAAACAAGUCAUUUGUUUAAAUGUUAUGAACAGGUUAGGAAUCAGGGAAAAAAAUGGACAGAUAUAAGACUUGGAUGGUAAAGCUAAAUAUGGGAAAACCAGCAACAAAGCACAUGAAAGUGUGUUCACAUUGUAAUCAGGAUGAUUUCAUAUUGAGGAUUUGAUUUGAGGACCCAGGUGGGUUAGUUAGCUUCGUGCUUGCCCACUACACCUUGGGUCGUGGGUUCGAUUCCCGCCUUGCCUUUUGGGUGUUGUGUAUGUCCUGUUUCCUGUAAUUGGGCCUCCAGCUUGUUAGAGACAUCAUAGGAUAAAAUAAAUAAAAAUAAAAAUAUUACCUGAUGUAAGUAUCAUUACUAAAGAAUUACUACCUAGAAGGCCCAAAAAUCGAGACUUUAAAGCAGUCAGAAGUACAACAAUGAGAAAAUCUGAAGGUUACAUAAUUUCAAGUACAGAUAGUACUGAUGUAAAUUGCUUCGACAGCAGUCAGUUACAUCAAAAAACUGUUUCAACAUUAGAAAUGGAAACCGUGCAGGCUUUGUUACAUUUACAAAAUUCACAAAAAAAGGAUAAAAAUAUUCAAGUGACAAGUGGAGAUUUAGUGGCACCUUUUAUAAGUACACUUAAAUCUGAUAAUGAUUUAAAUACAAUGGCUGGAAUACCAUCCUUUCUGUUAUUUAAUGCUAUUGUUGCAAAUUGUGAGGAGAUGUUUGGAAAAUUCUGUAAUAAACAUAAAUUAAACUUGAAAGAACAUGUUCUGUUAACUUUUAUGAAACUGAAAA
Molecule: long non-coding RNA, 1024 nt
Organism: Zophobas morio
Lineage: Eukaryota; Metazoa; Arthropoda; Insecta; Coleoptera; Tenebrionidae
Exons: 4
Source: RefSeq, a predicted model, not a curated record